AACGCACAUUGCACUCUGUUUACGCAGAGUAUGCCUGUUUGAGAAUCUAUAGUAUUCUUUUUCUCUAUAAAGUUUUUAUAAUUUUAUAUGGGAAAGUUUUGCGGAUUUUGGGUCAACCAAUUCUGUUAAAUCUAUAGUCAUUUUUUUUAUAGUCAAUGUUUGAAACUCUCUAUAAAAACUUUGCAGAAAUGUAUUUGAAUGAACCUAGCAGUUCUCCUUAUACAAAUUACGCAGAGAGAGAUUAGUUUUCUAUAAAAGAUUAAUGCCCAUAACCAUUAAAAAAGUAGAUUGUAAGAUUUAUUUUUUGAACCAUGGUCUCAAAUCAGGUAGGAUUACCCGCUGAACUUAA
RNAcentral lists this unclassified non-coding RNA (349 nucleotides) under uncultured Operculomyces. RNAcentral's name for it is "sequence contains ITS2". Lineage: Eukaryota; Fungi; Chytridiomycota; Chytridiomycetes; Rhizophydiales. The record is from RNAcentral.